Molecule: non-coding RNA, 107 nt
Organism: Myotis brandtii (Brandt's bat)
Lineage: Eukaryota; Metazoa; Chordata; Mammalia; Chiroptera; Vespertilionidae
Source: Rfam
AUCCUUUGGUAGCUAGCUCAUAAGCGUGGUGGUCACGCACUUAUGUGAGAUGUGCUUCCCACAAACCUUGUUACGACUUUGGCCCAUCUGACAUUACCCAUGUGAUC